UAUAAACCCUGAACCUGAAAGUAAGAUAGAAGCGGGGGACAAGUCCCUUAGAAAGAAACACUCACCAGAACCCACAGUGGGAAGGCUUAAGCUGUUCAGGAAAAAGGUUUGGUUUAAAAGCCCCG
Molecule: long non-coding RNA, 125 nt
Organism: Cololabis saira (Pacific saury)
Lineage: Eukaryota; Metazoa; Chordata; Actinopteri; Beloniformes; Belonidae
Exons: 3
Source: RefSeq, a predicted model, not a curated record